RNAcentral lists this long non-coding RNA (371 nucleotides) under Pan paniscus (pygmy chimpanzee). RNAcentral's name for it is "lncRNA (ENSPPAG00000044293.1)". Lineage: Eukaryota; Metazoa; Chordata; Mammalia; Primates; Hominidae. The record is from RNAcentral.
CUCAGUUCAAACUCAUGAGAUGUGAGCUUUGGUUGCGGAGGCCCUUGCUUCUCUUUAGAGAAAGCUACUCAAAGAAAUGAUCUCUUCCUGGAUGUUGUGGUCCACGAAUAUUAUGUCUGGAACAUCAGAGCCAUCUUGUCUCCAUGAUGGGAGUUCCAUCUAAAGACAAAGUCAAAACCCAGCAGAGGACACAGCUGAAGGAACACGAGAAAGUGGCAUGGAAACGCUGGAGCCCCAGCACCGGCAGACCUCAGUUAUUGGGGCCAAUCAACCUCUUGUUACUGUUCAAGCGAGUUUGGAAACGUUGUCAGAGACCCACAACAGAAAACAACUCAAACAGCUCAUACCUAAAGACUCCUACAUGGCUUUGA